UACGGGGGGGGCAAGCGUUGUUCGGAAUUACUGGGCGUAAAGGGCUCGUAGGCGGCCAACUAAGUCGGAUGUGAAAUCCCCAGGCUCAACUUGGGAACUGCAUCCGAUACUGGAUGGCUUGAAUUCGGGAGAGGGAUGCAGAAUUCCAGGUGUAGCGGUGAAAUGCGUAGAUAUCUGGAGGAAUACCGGUGGCGAAGGCGGUUAGCUGGGCAGUUGCUGACACUGAGGCGCGACAGCGUGGGGAGCAAACAGG
Molecule: ribosomal RNA, 253 nt
Filed under: uncultured bacterium
Lineage: Bacteria
Description: partial 16S ribosomal RNA
Rfam family: Bacterial small subunit ribosomal RNA
Source: RNAcentral